RNAcentral lists this ribosomal RNA (477 nucleotides) under uncultured bacterium. Its description in RNAcentral is "bacterial SSU rRNA". It matches the Rfam family "Bacterial small subunit ribosomal RNA", at positions 35 to 507 of the family's 1533-position model. The record is from RNAcentral.
AUACGGCUGGCGGCGUGCCUAACACAUGCAAGUCGUACGAGAAAGCCGGCUUCGGCUGGUGAGUAAAAGUGGCGCACGGGUGAGUAACGCGUGGAUAAUCUGCCCUUAAGUGUGGAAUAACGUACCGAAAGGUGCGCUAAUACCGCAUAAUGCCUGGCAACACAAGUUGUCCGGCCAAAGAAGGCCUCUGUUUACAAGCUUUCGCUUCAGGAUGAGUCCGCGUACCAUUAGCUUGUUGGUGGGGUAAUGGCCUACCAAGGCUGCGAUGGUUAGCUGGUCUGAGAGGAUGAUCAGCCACACUGGAACUGAGACACGGUCCAGACUCCUACGGGAGGCAGCAGUGAGGAAUUUUGCGCAAUGGGGGAAACCCUGACGCAGCGACGCCGCGUGGAGGAUGACGGCCUUCGGGUUGUAAACUCCUGUCUUCUGGGACGAAUAAUGACGGUACCAGAGGAGGAAGCCACGGCUAACUACGUG